RNAcentral lists this ribosomal RNA (482 nucleotides) under uncultured bacterium. Its description in RNAcentral is "bacterial SSU rRNA". It matches the Rfam family "Bacterial small subunit ribosomal RNA", at positions 30 to 506 of the family's 1533-position model. The record is from RNAcentral.
UUGAACGCUGGCGGCAUGCUUUACACAUGCAAGUCGAACGGUAACAGGGAGCUUGCUCCGCUGACGAGUGGCGAACGGGUGAGUAAUGCAUCGGAACGUGCCUAUUUGUGGGGGAUAACGUAGCGAAAGUUACGCUAAUACCGCAUACGCCCUGAGGGGGAAAGCGGGGGACCGUAAGGCCUCGCGCGAUUGGAGCGGCCGAUGUCUGAUUAGCUAGUUGGUGGGGUAAAGGCCCACCAAGGCGACGAUCAGUAGCGGGUCUGAGAGGAUGAUCCGCCACACUGGGACUGAGACACGGCCCAGACUCCUACGGGAGGCAGCAGUGGGGAAUUUUGGACAAUGGGGGCAACCCUGAUCCAGCCAUGCCGCGUGCGGGAAGAAGGCCUUCGGGUUGUAAACCGCUUUCGGACGGAAAGAAAUCGCAUGGACUAAUACUCUGUGUGGAUGACGGUACCGUAAGAAGAAGCACCGGCUAACUACGU